RNAcentral lists this non-coding RNA (21 nucleotides) under Caenorhabditis elegans. Lineage: Eukaryota; Metazoa; Nematoda; Chromadorea; Rhabditida; Rhabditidae. The record is from RNAcentral.
UGAAGAGUUAUAUUGACUUAU